Molecule: ribosomal RNA, 253 nt
Filed under: uncultured bacterium
Lineage: Bacteria
Description: partial 16S ribosomal RNA
Rfam family: Bacterial small subunit ribosomal RNA
Source: RNAcentral
UACGGAGGGGACUAGCGUUGUUCGGAAUUACUGGGCGUAAAGCGCACGUAGGCGGAUUUGUAAGUCAGGGGUGAAAUCCCGGGGCUCAACCUCGGAACUGCCUUUGAUACUGCAAAUCUCGAGUCCGGAAGAGGUGAGUGGAAUUCCUAGUGUAGAGGUGGAAUUCGUAGAUAUUAGGAAGAACACCAGUGGCGAAGGCGGCUCACUGGUCCGGUACUGACGCUGAGGUGCGAAAGCGUGGGGAGCAAACAGG